CGAUGUGAGAGAGAUCUCGCUGUGACAUCUGUCAUCCUACUGACUGCCAGGGUUGAUUCGGCUGAUCUGGCUCGCUAAGCAAGUGUCCCUUCCUCCCUCAUUGCUCCAUUUACGUCCCUCCUGAAGGUGUACAUUUGGUUGAAAGGACGACUAUCCACGACAGAGGACCGGCCUUUGGUCAAGGGUAUACGAGUAGCAGCACUCCCCUGCUAGAACCUCCAAAGAAGCUCUCAAAAAUAUUCAGGAAAAGAAAGUAAAAAAAAAAAAAAAAAAAAUACAAGAAUAAAAAAUAAUAAAAAUGU
Non-coding RNA from Pan troglodytes (chimpanzee), 302 nucleotides. It matches the Rfam family "7SK RNA". Rfam says of the family: 7SK was discovered as an abundant small nuclear RNA in the mid-70s but a possible function has only recently been suggested. Two independent studies have found that 7SK RNA binds the CDK9/cyclin T complex (known as elongation factor P-TEFb). P-TEFb activates transcription by phosphorylating the C-terminal domain of RNA polymerase II. NCBI's taxonomy places the organism in Eukaryota, Metazoa, Chordata, Mammalia, Primates, Hominidae. The record is from Rfam.